Molecule: ribosomal RNA, 379 nt
Filed under: uncultured bacterium
Lineage: Bacteria
Description: bacterial SSU rRNA
Rfam family: Bacterial small subunit ribosomal RNA
Source: RNAcentral
GUAGUCCACGCUGUAAACGAUGAGGACUAGAUAUCUGUUAGCAGAAGCUGAUGGGUGUCGAAGCAAACGCGAUAAGUUCUCCGCCUGGGGAGUACGGCCGCAAGGUUAAAACUCAAAGGAAUUGACGGGGGCCUGCACAAGCGGUGGAGCAUGUGGUUUAAUUCGAUGCAACGCGAAAAACCUUACCUACCCUUGACAUGCUUGGGAGCUUUAAGAGAUUAGAGUGUGCCGAAAGGAACCAAGAGACAGGUGCUGCAUGGCUGUCGUCAGCUCGUGUCGUGAGAUGUUGGGUUAAGUCCCGUAACGAGCGCAACCCUUGUUACUAGUUGCCAGCGGGUAAAGCCGGGGACUCUAGUAAGACUGCCAGUGAUAAGCUGGA